GGCUCCAUCGUCUAGCGGUUAGGACGCUGCCCUCUCACGGCGGAAACAGGGGUUCGAUUCCCCUUGGAGCUACCA
RNAcentral lists this transfer RNA (75 nucleotides) under Candidatus Altimarinota bacterium. Its description in RNAcentral is "tRNA-Glu". It matches the Rfam family "tRNA". From Rfam's summary of the family: Transfer RNA (tRNA) molecules are approximately 80 nucleotides in length. Their secondary structure includes four short double-helical elements and three loops (D, anti-codon, and T loops). Lineage: Bacteria; Candidatus Altimarinota. The record is from RNAcentral.